RNAcentral lists this ribosomal RNA (427 nucleotides) under uncultured bacterium. RNAcentral describes it as "partial 16S ribosomal RNA". It matches the Rfam family "Bacterial small subunit ribosomal RNA", at positions 355 to 774 of the family's 1533-position model. The record is from RNAcentral.
UGGGGAAUAUUGCACAAUGGGCGCAAGCCUGAUGCAGCCAUGCCGCGUGUAUGAAGAAGGCCUUCGGGUUGUAAAGUACUUUCAGCGGGGAGGAAGGCGAUAAGGUUAAUAACCUUGUCGAUUGACGUUACCCGCAGAAGAAGCACCGGCUAACUCCGUGCCAGCAGCCGCGGUAAUACGGAGGGUGCAAGCGUUAAUCGGAAUUACUGGGCGUAAAGCGCACGCAGGCGGUCUGUCAAGUCGGAUGUGAAAUCCCCGGGCUCAACCUGGGAACUGCAUUCGAAACUGGCAGGCUAGAGUCUUGUAGAGGGGGCUAGAAUUCCAGGUGUAGCGGUGAAAUGCGUAGAGAUCUGGAGGAAUACCGGUGGCGAAGGCGGCCCCCUGGACAAAGAGUGACGCUCAGGUGCGAAAGCGUGGGGAGCAAACA